AUUGAACGCUGGCGGCAGGCCUAACACAUGCAAGUCGAACGAGUGGCGGACGGGUGAGUAAUGUCUGGGAAACUGCCCGAUGGAGGGGGAUAACUACUGGAAACGGUAGCUAAUACCGCAUACCAUCGGAUGUGCCCAGAUGGGAUUAGCUAGUAGGUGGGGUAAAGGCUCACCUAGGCGACGAUCUCUAGCUGGUCUGAGAGGAUGACCAGCAACACUGGAACUGGGACACGGUCCAGACUCCUACGUGAGGCAGCAGUGGGGAAUAUUGGACAAUGGGCGCAAGCCUGAUGCAGCCAUGCCGCGUGUAUGAAGAAGGCCUUCGGGUUGUAAAGUACUUUCAGCGGGGAGGCGUUACCCGCAGAAGAAGCACCGGCUAACUCCGUGCCAGCAGCCGCGGUAAUUC
RNAcentral lists this ribosomal RNA (406 nucleotides) under uncultured bacterium. RNAcentral's name for it is "partial 16S ribosomal RNA". It matches the Rfam family "Bacterial small subunit ribosomal RNA", at positions 30 to 526 of the family's 1533-position model. The record is from RNAcentral.